UCUCCUGGAAAACGGGUGGUAAUGCCGGAUGCUCCAGUUGAUCGCAUGGUCUUCUGGGAAAGCUUUCGCGGUAUGGGAUGGGGUCGCGUCCUAUCAGCUUGACGGCGGGGUAACGGCCCACCGUGGCUUCGACGGGUAGCCGGCCUGAGAGGGCGACCGGCCACAUUGGGACUGAGAUACGGCCCAGACUCCUACGGGAGGCAGCAGUGGGGAAUAUUGCACAAUGGGCGCAAGCCUGAUGCAGCGACGCCGCGUGAGGGAUGGAGGCCUUCGGGUUGUAAACCUCUUUUAUCGGGGAGCAAGCGAGAGUGAGUUUACCCGUUGAAUAAGCACCGGCUAACUACGUGCCAGCAGCCGCGGUAAUACGUAGGGUGCAAGCGUUAUCCGGAAUUAUUGGGCGUAAAGGGCUCGUAGGCGGUUCGUCGCGUCCGGUGUGAAAGUCCAUCGCUUAACGGUGGAUCCGCGCCGGGUACGGGCGGGCUUGAGUGCGGUAGGGGAGACUGGAAUUCCCGGUGUAACGGUGGAAUGUGUAGAUAUCGGAAAAAGAACACCA
This 553-nucleotide ribosomal RNA is filed under the name Bifidobacterium longum subsp. infantis. RNAcentral describes it as "bacterial SSU rRNA". It matches the Rfam family "Bacterial small subunit ribosomal RNA", at positions 146 to 711 of the family's 1533-position model. The record is from RNAcentral. Lineage: Bacteria; Bacillati; Actinomycetota; Actinomycetes; Bifidobacteriales; Bifidobacteriaceae.